AGAGCCCAGUGAUCCUCCGGCGGCUGGAAAACCCCAGAGGGGCCCCUUUGCCCAGCUGAGUUCUGGGAAGCUUCACGCUGAAGUCCCACCAGUCUGGCCUCCAUCCUUCCCUUUCUGGCGCUCCACCAACACCCUCCUGCUUCUGCACAGCCCUCAGCUCCAGCUCAGACCCUCCCGGCCCUCCCUGCUCACACACUCAGCCACAGAUCCCUGAAGAGAGCAGACAGAUGUCCACAGGCAUGGGGAUGGUAGACGGUGGUGUCGUGGCCCCUGGGGGCCCCCAGCCCACCUGCAUCGACGUGCACAUCCACCAGGAGUCAGCUCUGGGCAAGCUCCUGCUGAGCGGGUGCUCCCUGCUGCGGCCCUCCUCCCAGACCCUGGGCAGCAGGCGGCUGCUGGUGGCCUCCUGGGCGGUGCAGAUCGUGCUGGGGGUGUUGAGUGGGGUCCUAGGAGGAUUCCUCCAUUUCUUCUACUACUCCCCUGUGCGGAACUCGGGAGCUGCCAUCUGGACAGGCGUGGUGGCUGUGCUGGCUGGAACCAUUGCCUUCAUUUAUGAGAAACGAGGUGGCUUUUACUUGGCCCAGCUGAGGACCCUGCUCGCCCUUGCAGCUUUCUCCACGGCCACUGCUGCCGUUGUCAUUGGGGCUCGUAAUUUCUAUGAGUAUCGCUUUGAGUCUGAGGAUAUCUGUGAUAUCUCUCCCUCGGGAAGCUGGCCCACCUCGGCCCCCCACACUCCAAGUCCAGAAGAAGUCAGAAGGCUGCACCUAUGCCUCUCCUACCUGAACAUGCUGAAGGCCCUGUUCAUAAGCAUCCGGGCCAUGCUGUUGGGUAUCUGGAUCCUGCUGCUUCUGGCAUCUCUGGCCCCUCUUUGCCUGUACUGCUGGAGAAGACUCCGACCUAAGGAGCCCUGUCUCCUCUGACCUCCUGCCUCGCUCUCAGGAGGACUCUGUGACUACACCAAGAUGAUCCAGGACAAUCCUCCAUCUCAAGAAAUAAUACAUGCCCAUUGGGGAAAGUUGGGAAAUAUGGAAAAUUAUAAAAAGAAGUCAAGAAGUACUCUUGAAACCGAAAACAAAGAGGUUAAAAACAUCUUUCCUGGUCUAGAAGAACAAAACCUUUGAGGAAAGCUUCGUUAACUGCAGCUGUGCACGUUCAGCAUAGUCAACCGUUGUUUGAAACUAACCAGGUCUUUCUGUCCCUCCUUUGUCUAUGAGUGAGCUGUCUUUCCCAGGAAGUCAAGGUCCAGAUGUCAAGAUUCAGCCUCACAAGGCCAAAUGCAGGCUGAAGAUGAAAAGUCCAAACAGUCAAGGGAAAAGAAAUUCAGUCUUCAGGGCUGAACACAGGUGGUGGGAAGGUGCCAACCAGCAAGGCCAUAUGCUCCCCCUCCUCUGCCUAAAACCCUAGAUAAAAACCACUGCCUUUUUCCCUUCAAGGAGGUGGAUCUGAGUUCUAACUCCCAUCUCUUCAUCUAGCUGACUUUCAAUAAUAGUAAAUCUCUUUCCUUGUCACAAGCCUGGUGUUUCAGUCUUCUCUUUAAUGGCCCUACUAAGCAGCAGGUAAACGAACUUGUGUUUGGGUUCAAUAACAAUUUGGCAAGCCAGCCAGGAGGCUCUUGCCCAUGGCUCCGCAGCCCCAAGCCAACUGGCAUUUCCUGGGAAGCAGUCCAGCAGCUGCCUAGGUGAUUUGCCCUAGAGACUGUCCCCAGCACUUUCCAUCUGACGCAGCACCGUUGGCCCUAGGCGCAUUUUUCUUGUGGCAAGGAAACAGGCUCUAUAUUUGUUUGUUUGUUUGUUUAUUUGUUUUGGCUUCUGGUUUGGAACGAACGUCCUUUUGAAUUUGAAAACUUGUGAAGAGUGAGUAUGCUUGUAUUCAUGGCAAUAUAGUUAUUUGCAUAAGUUCAAGAAGAAUCUGUUCUACUUAUACAAGGAAACAAUUGGAAACACUGAUUACAUUAUCAAGGCUUUGACUGGAACGUCAUAUCUAAAAACAUGCAAACUCAGAUAUGACCAGAUAGCUUUUGAGGAACAAAGAUCGGACUUUAUGGAAUAAAGCCAUUUGGAAAUAUUGGCCUGUUACCUUGUUUACAGGGUGCCCAGCAACCUUACCAGUACUAAAACCACCAUUUUUGCUGAAGCCCUGCCAACUGAAGCUGGACAACUUGAUAUAAACCUAAGAGAGCACCAUGCUAGCCCAUGUUUGGACACUCUUCAUGCCUGUUGCUUUGUAAGCCACUCAAAAGGUUCACCUGAAUGCCUGAUGACAUCAUUGGAGACAUUUUAAACCUCAGGGGAUGCUUCAACGCUGACAUCUAGAGAUUGUCUUAACUGACCAUCCCCUGGACUCAAAAUUGGCUUAUAAUUUUCUCCAACCAUUAACCUUUGUUCUUCUAGAAAUGCUUCUUAUUAAAUAUCUGGUUACUUGUUUACACAAUGUAGGCCUAACUUUGGGAGACCCUUUCUAAGUUCUAGAGAUGACCCAAAAGACCUGGAGGGAACUCAAAUUAAAGAGCUAAACACUGUGAGAUGUAUCUCGACACCAUCUUUGUUGUAGAAACUGGGUCCUAUUGAAAUCCUGGAUUUCAUCCCUGCUGGAUGGGACCACAGGAAAAACGCCACAAGAAACACGAACCAUGCCACAGAAAAACAUCACAACUGGGAUCACCCAAACCUUGGAUGACUUCAUACUCUAGACACUGACUUUUCUGAAUGGACAAAUGAACCCCUGACAGACUGAAAGCUGCUGUAUGCUAUACAGAAGAUGGUUUCCUAAGAUAAGUAAUAAAUGACUCCCAGGUUAUUACAUAA
Molecule: non-coding RNA, 2804 nt
Organism: Equus caballus (horse)
Lineage: Eukaryota; Metazoa; Chordata; Mammalia; Perissodactyla; Equidae
Source: RefSeq, a predicted model, not a curated record